GAUGAACGCUAGCUACAGGCUUAACACAUGCAAGUCGAGGGGCAGCAGGACGAUAGCUUGCUAUUGUUGCUGGCGACCGGCGCACGGGUGAGUAACGCGUAUCCAACCUUCCCCUUAGUAGGGCAUAGCCCGGUGAAAAUCGGAUUAAUGCCCUAUGGUCUCCUUCGAGGACAUCUGAAGAGGAGUAAAGAUUCAUCGCCGAGGGAUGGGGAUGCGGCUGAUUAGGAAGCCGGCGGGGUAACGGCCCACCGGUCCUUCGAUCAGUAGGGGUUCUGAGAGGAAGGUCCCCCACACUGGUACUGAGACACGGACCAGACUCC
RNAcentral lists this ribosomal RNA (320 nucleotides) under uncultured Prevotella sp. RNAcentral describes it as "bacterial SSU rRNA". It matches the Rfam family "Bacterial small subunit ribosomal RNA", at positions 28 to 339 of the family's 1533-position model. The record is from RNAcentral. Lineage: Bacteria; Pseudomonadati; Bacteroidota; Bacteroidia; Bacteroidales; Prevotellaceae.